Molecule: transfer RNA, 70 nt
Filed under: Marmota monax (woodchuck)
Lineage: Eukaryota; Metazoa; Chordata; Mammalia; Rodentia; Sciuridae
Description: tRNA.Val
Source: RNAcentral
GGAGGUAGCUCAGUGGUACAGCUCUUAACUAACAUGCAUGAGUCCUGGGUUUGAUUCCUCAGUACCACCA